GAUGAACGCUGGCGGCGUGCCUAAUACAUGCAAGUCGAACGGAGAUUGUAGCAAUACGAUCUUAGUGGCGAACGGGCGAGUAACGCGUUGAUGACCUGCCCCGAAGUGUGGGAUAACAGUUCGAAAGGAUUGCUAAUACCGCAUGUGGUCGUUUGGAUUAGAUGCCUUACGACUAAACGGAUUUAUUCGCUUCGGGAGGGCCUGCGUCCCAUCAGCUAGUUGGUAGGGUAACGGCCUACCAAGGCAGUGACGGGUAGGGGACCUGAGAGGGUGGCCCCCCACAAUGGAACUGAAACACGGUCCAUACACCUACGGGUGGCUG
This 322-nucleotide ribosomal RNA is filed under the name uncultured Chloroflexota bacterium. RNAcentral describes it as "bacterial SSU rRNA". It matches the Rfam family "Bacterial small subunit ribosomal RNA", at positions 28 to 351 of the family's 1533-position model. Lineage: Bacteria; Bacillati; Chloroflexota. The record is from RNAcentral.